AUCGCUUCUCGGCCUUUUGGCUAAGAUCAAGUGUAGUAACUUCUGUGUUAUGUAUCAUUUAUCAUCAUUUAAGAAACCAAAUCUAC
Molecule: small nuclear RNA, 86 nt
Organism: Heterocephalus glaber (naked mole-rat)
Lineage: Eukaryota; Metazoa; Chordata; Mammalia; Rodentia; Bathyergidae
Gene: U2
Rfam family: U2 spliceosomal RNA
About the family: U2 is a small nuclear RNA (snRNA) component of the spliceosome (involved in pre-mRNA splicing). Complementary binding between U2 snRNA (in an area lying towards the 5' end but 3' to hairpin I) and the branchpoint sequence (BPS) of the intron results the bulging out of an unpaired adenosine, on the BPS, which initiates a nucleophilic attack at the intronic 5' splice site, thus starting the first of two transesterification reactions that mediate splicing.
Source: Ensembl